ACCACAACCAAUACAUUAAGGCGCCAAUAACUUUCCCUCUUUUUGGCGUGAACCCUAGCAGAGCAUAGCGCCAAUCGCGGGUCUCCUUCCACCACCGUCGUGACGUCGUCGGCAGCCUUCCCCCUUGCCCUUGCCCUGCUGUGCGCCGAUCGCCCCCUCUCCCCUCUCUCAGGUUCUCUGACGAGCGGGUAUAUCGGAGCUCUGAAAUAAUUUACUUGGGGUGUAUUCCUGUACCUGCAGCUGUGACAGGCCAUCAAUGCUCACGGACUUUAUUGUGUUCCUUUGUAUGAUACCUUAGCUAUUGAAGACAUUUCCAAAUACCACAAAGUAUCUCAAGACGCCUGUGAGCUUUGGGAAGGUUACACCUGAACAAAAGCAAGAAGUUGAAAAGUUUGGGUUGGCAAUAUAUUCGUGGGAUGAACUUAUAACUAAAAGAGCAGACAAGCAGGAAGGCAGUGGAGAAUGAAGUAGCAGCCGAGAAGACUAAAAGACAGGCGGUGGAGGAUGAAGUAGCAUCUGAGAAGACCAAAAGACAGGGAGUGGAGGAUGAAGUAGCAGUUGGGAAGGUCAGGAUGCAGGCAAUGGAGAGUGCUUUGUUAUGUCUACUUCAAGGGCAAGGUAGGAAGCUGCCAUCAGACGUCGCCACAUGGAUGAGUGCG
This is a long non-coding RNA of Arachis duranensis, 659 nucleotides long. RefSeq lists it as uncharacterized. NCBI's taxonomy places the organism in Eukaryota, Viridiplantae, Streptophyta, Magnoliopsida, Fabales, Fabaceae. The transcript is spliced from 6 exons. The record is from RefSeq and is a predicted model, not a curated record.